AACCACAUCAGUGUUCCUAAAUAUUCUGCUUCUGAAUGGCCAAAUGCAUUUUUGUAUACAUCUUUGGGUCUUGCUUGAAUAUUGCUAAAGCCUUCAAAAGCAUUAGAUCUCAUAUACUGCUUAAGGUUUUUUGCUUUUCUAGAAUUUACGACAAUGGGUUUAAUUUCGAGCAGUUAUGCACACUUUUUUUUUAUUAUGUUUCAUUGCCUAGAUGAUUUAUUCAAUUUUGUUAUAGGUCCAAGUUGGCAUUCAGGAAUUCUUCAAGAACCAUGAAAUAACAAAACCUCUUGCUACCAAAGAGCUGGUGUGGUUUAUGGCUUCUGCCUUUUUGGCAUUACCGAUUUUCCUUGUAUAUCGACUUCUGUCAUAUAUUUUGGGCCCUCGGAAGAAAACAGAAAUAACAAAGAGUUCACAUCGCAGGCCUAAGCAUAGGCAUGCUGACAAGUAAAGUUUGUUCUGGGUUGUUCUUCUCAUACGCCAAGAAGUAUGAAAUGAGGAUUGAGAUGUUUGAGAAACAAAGGAAGUAUGAAACGAGAGUACAGAAGUGUGAGAAACAGAGAAACAUUUGGUUAGUUGGAUCAGAUGCUUCUAAAUUUGUGAAUAAAAUCUAUCUAUUUUUGCACGAUUAAUAUCCAAAUGGAGGAUUGGACUAGUAAUUGGCUAUGUACCCUGCUUCUACUUAGAUACCCAUCGAAAAGUAUUUGGAGUUUGGAGGGCCUCUUUUGCUAAUGAAUUAGGAUAAUACAUAAAGAUUUUUGUCACAAAGAUAACAGAGUGCAUGAACUAUUCGGUUUUUGGAUAUUUACAAAUUUAUUCUUGCUCUUGGAACUUACAAUGUAAAGACUUGUUCUAUUCAUAUUUUGGAUUUAGUCCAUUUCUUUAUUAUUUAGGUGUUUA
Long non-coding RNA from Zingiber officinale, 897 nucleotides. RefSeq lists it as uncharacterized. The transcript is spliced from 6 exons. Lineage: Eukaryota; Viridiplantae; Streptophyta; Magnoliopsida; Zingiberales; Zingiberaceae. The record is from RefSeq and is a predicted model, not a curated record.